AGUCUUAUAUUCAAAAAAUGAUUUUAAAUUGCAAAUUUAAAGGUAAAGAAUACUUUUAAGGCUU
RNAcentral lists this transfer RNA (64 nucleotides) under Ctenochauliodes nigrovenosus. RNAcentral describes it as "tRNA-Cys". Lineage: Eukaryota; Metazoa; Arthropoda; Insecta; Megaloptera; Corydalidae. The record is from RNAcentral.